AUUGAACGCUGGCGGCAGGCCUAACACAUGCAAGUCGAACGAGUGGCGGACGGGUGAGUAAUGUAUGGGAAACUGCCCGAUGGAGGGGGAUAACUACUGGAAACGGUAGCUAAUACCGCAUACUAUCGGAUGUGCCCAUAUGGGAUUAGCUAGUAGGUGGGGUAACGGCUCACCUAGGCGACGAUCUCUAGCUGGUCUGAGAGGAUGACCAGCCACACUGGAACUGAGACACGGUCCAGACUCCUACGGGAGGCAGCAGGGGGGAAUAUUGCACAAUGGGCGCAAGCCUGAUGCAGCCAUGCCGCGUGUAUGAAGAAGGCCUUCGGGUUGUAAAGUACUUUCAGCGAGGAGGCGUUACUCGCAGAAGAAGCACCGGCUAACUCCGUGCCAGCAGCCGCGGUAAUAC
RNAcentral lists this ribosomal RNA (406 nucleotides) under uncultured bacterium. RNAcentral's name for it is "partial 16S ribosomal RNA". It matches the Rfam family "Bacterial small subunit ribosomal RNA", at positions 30 to 526 of the family's 1533-position model. The record is from RNAcentral.